AUUGAACGCUGGCGGCAGGCCUAACACAUGCAAGUCGAACGAGUGGCGGACGGGUGAGUAAUGUCUGGGAAACUGCCUGUUGGAGGGGGAUAACUACUGGAAACGGUAGCUAAUACCGCAUACCAUCAGAUGUGCCCAGGUGGGAUUAGCUAGUCGGUUGGGUAACGGCCCACCUAGGCGACGAUCCCUAGCCGGUCUGAGAGGAUGACCAGCCACACUGGAACUGAGACACGGUCCAGACUCCUACGGGAGUCAGCAGUGGGGAAUAUUGCACAAUGGGCGCAAGCCUGAUGCAGCCAUGCCGCGUGUAUGAAGAAGGCCUUCGGGUUGUAAAGUACUUUCGGCGGGGAGGCGUUACCCGCAGAGAAAGCACCGGCUAACUCCGUGCCAGCAGCCGCGGUAAUUC
This 406-nucleotide ribosomal RNA is filed under the name uncultured bacterium. Its description in RNAcentral is "partial 16S ribosomal RNA". It matches the Rfam family "Bacterial small subunit ribosomal RNA", at positions 30 to 526 of the family's 1533-position model. The record is from RNAcentral.